This 1010-nucleotide ribosomal RNA is filed under the name uncultured bacterium. Its description in RNAcentral is "bacterial SSU rRNA". It matches the Rfam family "Bacterial small subunit ribosomal RNA", at positions 355 to 1375 of the family's 1533-position model. RNAcentral also lists the same sequence under 1 other name. The record is from RNAcentral.
UGGGGAAUAUUGCACAAUGGGCGCAAGCCUGAUGCAGCGACCCCGCGUGAGGGAUGGAGGCCUUCGGGUUGUAAACCUCUUUUAUCGGGGAGCAAGCGAGAGUGAGUUUACCCGUUGAAUAAGCACCGGCUAACUACGUGCCAGCAGCCGCGGUAAUACGUAGGGUGCAAGCGUUAUCCGGAAUUAUUGGGCGUAAAGGGCUCGUAGGCGGUUCGUCGCGUCCGGUGUGAAAGUCCAUCGCUUAACGGUGGAUCCGCGCCGGGUACGGGCGGGCUUGAGUGCGGUAGGGGAGACUGGAAUUCCCGGUGUAACGGUGGAAUGUGUAGAUAUCGGGAAGAACACCAAUGGCGAAGGCAGGUCUCUGGGCCGUUACUGACGCUGAGGAGCGAAAGCGUGGGGAGCGAACAGGAUUAGAUACCCUGGUAGUCCACGCCGUAAACGGUGGAUGCUGGAUGUGGGGCCCGUUCCACGGGUUCCGUGUCGGAGCUAACGCGUUAAGCAUCCCGCCUGGGGAGUACGGCCGCAAGGCUAAAACUCAAAGAAAUUGACGGGGGCCCGCACAAGCGGCGGAGCAUGCGGAUUAAUUCGAUGCAACGCGAAGAACCUUACCUGGGCUUGACAUGUUCCCGACGGUCGUAGAGAUACGGCUUCCCUUCGGGGCGGGUUCACAGGUGGUGCAUGGUCGUCGUCAGCUCGUGUCGUGAGAUGUUGGGUUAAGUCCCGCAACGAGCGCAACCCUCGCCCCGUGUUGCCAGCGGAUUAUGCCGGGAACUCACGGGGGACCGCCGGGGUUAACUCGGAGGAAGGUGGGGAUGACGUCAGAUCAUCAUGCCCCUUACGUCCAGGGCUUCACGCAUGCUACAAUGGCCGGUACAACGGGAUGCGACGCGGCGACGCGGAGCGGAUCCCUGAAAACCGGUCUCAGUUCGGAUCGCAGUCUGCAACUCGACUGCGUGAAGGCGGAGUCGCUAGUAAUCGCGAAUCAGCAACGUCGCGGUGAAUGCGUUCCC